UUAACACUAUCCGGUAAUAAAAUAACACUGCCAUUGCUAGGCCAGUGUUAUAUCCACGACAGUGUCAGUGUAAAACAAGGGUGUUACCAGAUUUCACACUGAGCGGUGUAAAUCAAGCCACGCCUCCACUAAACAUAUCCUGUCAGGGAUUUUACCGCCAUUUUCUUUCAAAGGAGGACUGAAGAGAGCAGAUGCUAGUUUGGUGAAAGUACACACUGAGUGCUUCAAAUCAUUCAGAAGAGAUGUUGUUUUAAGGGCAGUUUAUUAAAGAAGACCUGACAUGGAUGACUUCCAAUGAGAAACGACUGCUAAUACUUAUAUAAAUUCAUUACAGAAGGACCCUACCAGACUAUAUUUGAAUACGGCAUACCCGUGAAUUCUGGAACUGUUAUUCCUUAACCCAGUUUGAAGUAUAAGAGCUUACCAACUAUAAAUAUGCUGAGGCGAUGUAUUGCCGAAUAGCCAACAUACAACAAUUAAAGGAUAAUUGCAGCCUAUAUCCUGAUGAAGAUAUGGAUGACCCUCUGUCUGGUCAACAAUAGUUUAAAUAUGGACGGGACAGUUAUGUGGCAGCUCUUCCCUGGCUCAUUCACCUCUUGCCUUCAUUUGUGAAAGGAGGAAAGACUGGAGAGGGUCAAUGUGCAACUGAAGCUACUGAUUGUGCUGUGUGAUGAGCAUCAAUCCGUGCUUUGAGGGGGAUGAAUCAGCACAGCCCUGCCUGCUCUGCGUUGGGAACAAAAGUUGCAUCCAGAAUUUUUGCAUCAUUCUGGACCAAAAAGCCAUUCCCUCCAUGAUGAAGACCACUGAUGCAGCCUUCCACUACAUCAUGAGUAAAACAACUACAGAACUAAAUACCAGGUUGGAACGUGUUUAAGAAAAAUGAAACGUCUUUUGAAUUGAAAUGUCUGUUUUGUUAUGGAAAAAUCUUUAGUAUUGUGAAGGAUAAGCAUUUCUGCUUGCCGAUAAGGUAAUUGCAUGUAUUUUAAUGUUCAAGUUUUGAGUAGGGUGGCUAAUUUUUUUAACUCUUAUUUGAUUUAUUAAAGACCUUUAUAAUAAGUGGUUUUAUGUCACUGCGCUGUGGUAUAAGAUAACUUUCAUUAUUCCAUACUGUAUUCUGUUUCUAAUUGUAGCUGAGGUAUUUAAAUAAGCAGUGUUAAAUGCAAAGUGUUGUGUGUAUCAAUGUAAAUAUUAAAUGUGAUUUACUUUAAUAAAAAGAGGUUUUGCAAUAUUUCUUGUCAUUUUUCUUUUAUAGAAACAACCCAUUAGCAACAAAAGUGGCUAU
Molecule: non-coding RNA, 1282 nt
Organism: Misgurnus anguillicaudatus (oriental weatherfish)
Lineage: Eukaryota; Metazoa; Chordata; Actinopteri; Cypriniformes; Cobitidae
Source: RefSeq, a predicted model, not a curated record